CAGCAGUGUCCUUAGUUGGUUCUGAAGGGCAUUUUGCACAGUGUUUAGCAAUGAUUUGGGCCAUAUUACUUCUCAUUCUCCAAGUCUGGUCCUCCAAGUUUUUAGGCAAUUUUGUAUUUAUUUUCUGCUAUAAUCAGCCCAAACCCAUUUCUUUUGCUCUGGAACUUAGAAGUGAUCUAGUCAACUUACAUGGUAAGCAAUCAUCUAUAGCAAAAAUUUAGAGUAAAAUUAGACCAAGAUUGAUUGAACAUUCAUGUUUCAAACUGCAGAAAAUCUUGGAGUUUUUUUAGACAAUAAUAUUAAUGUUACUACUGCUAAUAAAAGAUAGCUUUAUUGAGAAACUACUGUAUGUCAUGAUCUGUAUUAAGCCUUUAUAUGAAAAAAAAAAGCCUUUAUAUGCAUUAUUUCCUGUAAUUCAAGGAAGAUAUAGGAACUCAAAUCUGAUGAAAAUAAGCCAGAUGAAAAAACAUGGCCUAUAAUCUAGUGGAGGAGGAGGAGGAUGAUGACGAUGACAAUGAUGAAGAUUAUGAUGACAAUGAUGUUGGUAAUGAUGAUAAUGAUGGCAAUGACAAUGAUGAUGACAAUGACAAUAAUGAUGAUUAUGAUGAUGACAGUGAUGUUGACAAUGAUGAUGAUGACAACAUCUGGAAUGUGGAGAAUCACAGUUAGGGUCAACCGCCUAUAUAACAGAGCUUGUUUGAAGUGUCUCAAGUCCCAGGCUCUAAUGGACCCCAACUCUGAUAAAUCACCUUCAUGCUCAGAAGGAAAGAUAAGACUUAUGCAACUAUUGCUUAUAGUGAUAACCUCUACAUCUCCUGGAAUUAGCCUCAACUUAGUGACCUGGAAUCAAUCACCUAGUGCCAUGUCUGUCAUCGUUUAUGACCAACAAAAUCACUCGCAUGUGACCCUAAAGGGGUUCUUCAAGGCUUUCAGAUCAUAUGGGAUGAUGCUUCAGUGCCCUGAGGAUGGUGAGGCAUGGACUUUGGGGUCUAAACCACCUACCGUGAAAUAUUGCAUCUUUUCCUUCCAUCUAUAUAUUUUCCUCACUCGUAAAAUGAAGACAAUAAUUUCUACAUCAGAGGGCACCAUGAAGCCCCAAUGAAAUAAUAAAUGUAACAUCAUGAAGCCCUGUUUCUAGUAU
This 1141-nucleotide long non-coding RNA is filed under the name Vulpes vulpes (red fox). RNAcentral describes it as "lncRNA (ENSVVUG00000020830.1)". The record is from RNAcentral. Lineage: Eukaryota; Metazoa; Chordata; Mammalia; Carnivora; Canidae.